This 63-nucleotide transfer RNA is filed under the name Dipodomys ordii (Ord's kangaroo rat). It matches the Rfam family "tRNA", at positions 1 to 62 of the family's 71-position model. From Rfam's summary of the family: Transfer RNA (tRNA) molecules are approximately 80 nucleotides in length. Their secondary structure includes four short double-helical elements and three loops (D, anti-codon, and T loops). The record is from Rfam by way of RNAcentral. Lineage: Eukaryota; Metazoa; Chordata; Mammalia; Rodentia; Heteromyidae.
GGGAAUGUGGCUCAGUGGUAGAGUGCUUGCCUAACAUGCAUGAAUCCCUGGGUUCCAUUCCUC